UAGCUCUCGGGAGUCACUGAAGUUGGCGAAAUUCAAAUGAGCACAAGUAGGCGCAUUCUGCACCCCGCGGACGGGCGACGAGUCCAGUAACAGGAAACGUCCGUGAAAACCAGCGAGAGGACAUGCUGUCCGCCGCGUCCCACGUGUACGUUCACAGCACCUCGAGGCGCUUGGACGCGUCCUCGCCAGGCGGAUAGGGAAGGGGUGCAGGCCAGACCCUUCCCUGGGUGACACCGAGAGAGACUCUCGCAGCUCUGCUCCUGUCCCAGCUGCAAAUGAGCCAAUGUCCAUCUGCACAAAGUGGCUGGACUCUACCGUCUAGAACACGGGACUGUUCAGCUCUAAGUUUCAACGUGGUUACAUCUCAAAACCAAAACGAAAUGUUCAGUGAGGCCGGCAUUGUCCUCCUGGUCCCUCUGUCUACUGAUUCUUCUCAAGCGAGAUGGCUGCAGAACAGAGAGGCGGCCGUGUGUCCAAACCCCACAGUUGUACAGACGCAGGACGGGCCUGCCUCUCCGACGCCAGGGCGCCCCAGCUCUCCAGCGACGCCUUCCUCCUUCCCGGUAAACGGUGUUGAUAAUGGAGGAUGAGACGGGACUGAAACACUGUACGCUUUCGUAGAGACGCCAGCGAACAGCCGGAGGUGAGGCCUACUCCAGCAUCCCGCCAGCACUGCGUCCCGCGUGACCAUAACAGCAGGCCUGUCCUUCCCGCCACACGCGUGCAACACACCGGAUCCCGCGACCUCAGCAGGAAAGAGAUCCCACCAAACAGCCACCUGGAGACACUCGGGAAAUCAGGCCUGGAGGAGGUCCCGGGGUCCGGGCGGUGAGUGUCCUGCGCUUCUCUGCUCGCAGGCGAGCCCAGCAGCACCAAGACCUCGGGCGUCUCCCAACAACGGUGCAGUGCUUGCCCGGAGGGGGUGGGCUAACUGUUGGCUAUUUAGUUCAACUCUCCGGUUUUCCGUAAAUGCUAACCGCCUGGUUCCCCGUGGAGAGCAGGACUGAAGGGAGCAGGGUGAGGCAGAGACGGUCUCCAGGGCAGAGCCACAGGUGGGCCAGGAUGGGUGAGCCUCUCCCACUGGAGAAGCUGGCCUCACCGACCAGCUCGCACCUGAGGGGCUGCUCCAGCAGCAGACCAGCCGAGAUGGAGACACUGGGAGGCCAACUCCCACCCAUCCCCACCCGGCGGGAAGCGUCGAUCAGGUCUUGCCUGCACUGUCCAGCAUCGCCUUUUUAUCUCUCGCGGAGUUCCCAAGGCGGCAAAGGGAGGGAGCUCCAUCCCGGCCUCUGAAAAGCCGUUUCUGUACAGUGACUCCCUGGAAAAGAAAACAAACCCUUAAGUUCAAUGUGUCAAGUUCCUUUAAAAACGGCUGCGCGUUAAGUAGCCCGAACAUGCUGUCAUGUGGUGUUAAUUCAGAUUAUUACAGCUCUAUAACUGACCCUACUUGAUCGGGGGUGUCUGACAGCGCCCACCCCUGAGUUGCAAAUAUUUAGAAUCGAUUCCAGAAAAUCACUUCCCAGAGUUCUGAGUACAACUGGUAUUGAUUUCAUUGCUUCUCCCCAAUAAGCGGAGUAUUUUGAAUGCUUCAGUUCCUGGGACUUGGUGCCACAUAGACCUGACAGUGGCGGCUCAGGGCAGAAGGCCCUCAGUGCAGGGAACUCCACAGACCACCCCGAAGACACAAAUUCCCUCGGCGCUCGCGCCCGGGGCUGCGUCAUCCAUCCCAAGCUCGGAUGCUCCUUCACACGGUCGUGGGUCAGAUGGCCAGCCAAGCCCGCCCACGGCGCAGGCCGCAGGGUCACCUUUCCCCCAUGGACGGUCUCGCAAAUGGUACAGAGAAAGCUAACCUAACAUGGGGGCCUUGAACACACCCCCGUCCGGGUCGCAGCAGGAUUAAGGAGGAAAUGCCCCACCAGGCUCAGCAGGGUGCUUGCCCCCCCCCUCGGCCUUCAGGACCAUCGGGUGGCAUCCCUGCUGUGUCACUGGCGUCGUGGGUGUGAUCAGCACAGCGGAGCCGGGGGCCUGCGUGAGGGGCCGCGCUGCCCAGCUGCUCUGGGGACAGGGCUCUGCCGUCUCCUCCACUUUGGUAAGGACGCAGUCGUGGGGACGACACAAAGGCGCAUGUGCCACUCCCUCUGGACCCGGUCCUCAGCCCCACCAGGAGGCGGGGCCAAGCCGGCGGGAAUGUCCCCACAUCCAGUGGCUGUCGGGUCCAACCCAACAGGACCCAACACAACCUCUUUUCCAAAUGUCUUGUUGUCCCAGGGCUUUAAAUCUUUAACUACGGUCCCAAAUUCCCGCCAACUGUUUCAGCCAAAAACUGGAAUCCAGCUUCACUACUGCCACUCUGUCCCCUUCCAGAGCUGGUUAGUCUCCAAGUCCUGCUGGCCGACUUCUCGCCACCCUUCCUCCACCCCAUUUCCCUGGACCUGGCCUCUCUCUCCCGCUCUCCACUCUCCGGGAAGGCAGCCCUUUGGAGAGCCCAGCGGGGGACGGCCACUUCCACUGCCUUGAGCUGAGGAAGCCCACUCUUGAGGAAUCAGACUUGUUGGAGACCCCGCAUCGCCACAUCCCUCCCCACCUGCAGCUUCAACCCUCAACCCUCGGUAUCUGCCCUCCUCCCCUUCCCCGCUGCCUCCUCCCCCCCCCCUGCCAGGACCAGGCCCUCUGCAAAUAUCCAUCCCUGAAUGAUACACACACUAAUGUAAUGACGUGACGGUGGGAGGUGUGGGCUGGGGAGCAGCGAGGCCGUCGGAGGGCAGACAGACUCGGGGGGCCUCUGCUCUUUGCAUUUAUGAGAAAGAAAGUUCACGUGUCAGGCCGAGACAGAGCGGAAACUGUCCACGUCCUCGUUGCAGACGGGCCAGAGUGACCCAUUCUCCUCAAUCCUGUGACCCUAAGCUGAGUCUAAAGCUGGAGGCCCUGCUGGCUGCUGGGAGUCUCAGCAUCUCCCCUCGGCCCCCACAGCUGCCGACACUGGUCCCGGAGCCUUCACACCGCGGCUCCCAAGUCCUCCAUUGUUGGAAUUCUACGGCGAUCCCAGAUCCCGGAGGCCAGGCACAGGCUGGGAAAGCCAAGGCAGGGGCUGACUUUCAGCCCCACAGGUCACACUCUGGGCUACACAGGGGCCCCAGGAAUCCUGGGAGUUCUCAGAGGCCUGGGCCCUCCCUGACCUACCCCUCCCAGAUCUUCUCCUGUAUUUCCCGUCCUUCUUCAUGCCAAACGGGUUUUCAGUACACAAGCUGUCCAGCUGCUCCGUGCUUUUGAUUUAAAAAAAAAAAAACUUCCUGUCCUUAAAUUGGAGUGAAAUUUCAUUCAUUCUUAACCUAAUUCUAUAUCUUGGCUCUGUUUGCUUUUUUUUGAACUAUGGUAAAAUGUUCAAGCUCUUUGACCCUGAGUUUCUGUUGGGAAAAAAGAUGGUUAAUACCUCCCCACAGUUUUGUUGGAAAAAUCAGAGACAAUCAUAGAAACCACACGUUUUAUUUGGAGUCUGGCAUAUUGACCUUACUUAACAAGCAUUCAUACUUGUUAUUGUGGUUUCAAGCGUCUCUUUAAAUGUUGUUUCAUCAUCUUUCUAACCAGAUAAUAAUUUCCAUGAAGGUAGGAAUCAGAUCAUACAAAAAACAUUGUUAUUUUAAGAUUGAUGGCUUAUCAUUAUUUCUGUGUCCUCCCCAUCACACCUGGAGUAAUGUCCAGUAAAUAUUUACUAGAGAAUUCAACAGACUCUUCCAGCUUGUUCUCUGGAUAAAUCUAUAGAUGCAUGAAGUCUAUAGAAAAAAAGAAUUCAGAGGUUUGCACUGAACUAUAAAUUCAAAGGGUAUUACAGCAGAGUGGUAGGGAAGUUGGAAAAGAAUGACUUUCUUUCUAUCAAGACAGAUGUGCUUGGCGCAAAGCCCAUAUUUCGGGAAAACAAAUGACAAUGGUAUUGAUUGCCGUAACAAUCGUGCGGUUUUUGAGAGCUGGAGAUUGCACCUAAAGGUAUGUAUUACUUCAAUCGUUUGCAGGUGUGCUGUACUUAAUUCAUUAAAGAUGCAUUUCAGAGUCAUUUUGAAAAUAUUACCUCAUUGAUGUGGGCGAAAGGUUGCCAGGAAGUGUGAAGUGCAUAGACCUGAACCCACCUGAUCAGCAAAACCCUAGCAUCACCUGUGGUUUCUGGAGGUUUCCCCUGAGACGUGGGUGGAUUGGAAUUUUGAGUAAGAACAUCUAUUAACUCAUCCGUGACCACCUAUUUGCUGAAGGACCCUGGCCCCUGGUCAGCUCAGAUGGCCUUCUUAAAAAAAAUUCUUUUUGCCAAAUCUGUAUUUGAAAAGAAAACCACAGUUCUGGUUAGCAAAUCUGUAUGAAUAAACGCAUAGGUACCUUAUUCUAUUCGGCUGUAUUUUUCAUAGAGAGAAAAAUACUCCCAAGACUUAAGUCUGAGUUAUGCUUUGGUAUUUCUAUUCGGUAAAUUGUUGGGCAACCUGGAGAGUUUCACUUUUUUCAAAUUUAACUCUUUAUGCGACUGGCAUGACCUGGGGGGACUGCUCUGGAGGCAGUUUCUUCUUCGCAAAAGGAGAAAUUAGAAUGCCAUGUCUGCAAAAUAUUUUGGGCAAGGUUAUCUCCCACACUUAACAGGCUGUAGAUGGAAUCUGUCCCGGGAAUAGAUAUAUCCUCAUGUUUUUGAAUUUAUGAAUAAAAUGCACAAUACUGUUGGGAUCUGACACAUUCAGAUUGUUGACAUCGUUCUCAUUCAUCCUGAGAAUACAUCCCAUCCCUGCCAGGGAGCUUCACGGGGGCGAGAAAGUCUCCUUCAGUUCCCCAGCGACAUCGUUCUUCAUCAUGAAGUUAACUGCAAAGUCAGGCCAUCCGUCCCACAUCCCUCCAUUACAGUGAGUAUCUGAUGGGCUCGGCCCAGUAGGUCCUGCUAGCCGCUCUUACAAACUCACCCCUCCUUCGGCUGCCUGACCCCAGGGGGAGCCCAGGCUGACAGGAGACUCUGUGCUUAGGCUCCUUGCUCCCCAUGGCUCCGCGUCUUCUAGGGCCUUCCACAUUCGGCCAGUAGGUGAGGAGAGUUGGGCCUGAAAGUGGUGCCUGUCAUUUCUGCUCACGGUUCCUAGGCCAGAAUCAGCGGGGGAGCCCACCCUGGUGCAGGGGUGCGCCAGCAGCGAGAAGGGCCCCGGCCCUGGCACUGCCCGCCCAACGCCGCUCUUGAGCGCAGGAUGCAAGUGUGCAGGCUUGUUUCAAACGCUUGUAGCGAGACGUACACAAUAUGUGCAAAUCCUUGUGUUUCUUUCUCUUGGCAAAAUCAUAUAUGUAACAUUUAUGCAUAUGUUCGUGUAUAUUAUAAAUAUAUGAAGAUAUUAUAAAAACAUGAUAUAUUGAAAAAAUACAUAUGUAGUUGUCAAAAAUUCUCAGUUGUAAUUAGGUUUAAAACUGCAAGGAACCUAGUUUAAUAUUGUUAUAUUAUGAUUUACAAUAAAAAAUACGUAUU
Ailuropoda melanoleuca (giant panda) is the source of this 5473-nucleotide long non-coding RNA. RefSeq lists it as uncharacterized. The transcript is spliced from 3 exons. The record is from RefSeq and is a predicted model, not a curated record. Lineage: Eukaryota; Metazoa; Chordata; Mammalia; Carnivora; Ursidae.